GAUUAAUGCAACCACAUUUCACGUAUCUAAUUUACUUCAGUACGUUUGGUUAGUAGAAAGAUUACUAUGUAACAACAUUGAGAGGCUUGGAAAACAACUCACAUUUUGAAAUUACAUUUUGCAGGAAAGUUCAAGUUCAGCAAAGCGAUGUAGUUAGCCAAAGUUCUGAAUUUAGUGUUCUAUAUAGCUUUAAUAUGGGCUAGAACUAAACUAAUUGCUUUCUAACUACUUGAAAUGAAAUGAAAUUAAAACAAAAUUUUAGAGAGAAUUUUAAAUUUAUCAUACUUAAUCAUUCAAGAACCAUCCAACUAUUGAUUGGACCAAAAGAAGGAAAAAUAAAAUCAGUGAUUGCUUAUAUAUCAGAAAAAUUCCACAAAUUAUAAUCAAAUAUUGAACAUG
This 399-nucleotide unclassified non-coding RNA is filed under the name Hevea brasiliensis (rubber tree). The record is from RNAcentral. Lineage: Eukaryota; Viridiplantae; Streptophyta; Magnoliopsida; Malpighiales; Euphorbiaceae.